This 433-nucleotide ribosomal RNA is filed under the name uncultured bacterium. RNAcentral's name for it is "partial 16S ribosomal RNA". It matches the Rfam family "Bacterial small subunit ribosomal RNA", at positions 29 to 507 of the family's 1533-position model. The record is from RNAcentral.
AACGAACGCUGGCGGCAUGCCUAACACAUGCAAGUCGAACGAGACCUUCGGGUCUAGUGGCGCACGGGUGCGUAACGCGUGGGAACCUGCCCUUAGGUUCGGAAUAACUCCCCGAAAGGGGUGCUAAUACCGGAUAAUGUCUUCGGACCAAAGAUUUAUCGCCUUUGGAUGGGCCCGAGUUGGAUUAGCUAGUUGGUAGGGUAAAAGCCUACCAAGGCGACGAUUCAUAGCUGGUCUGAGAGGAUGAUCAGCCACACUGGGACUGAGACACGGCCCAGACUCCUACGCGAGGCAGCAGUGGGGAAUAUUGGACAAUGGGCGAAAGCCUGAUCCAGCAAUGCCGCGUGAGUGAUGAAGGCCUUAGGGUUGUAAAGCUCUUUUACCCGGGAUGAUAAUGACAGUACCGGGAGAAUAAGCUCCGGCUAACUCCGUG